Myotis lucifugus (little brown bat) is the source of this 1733-nucleotide long non-coding RNA. RefSeq lists it as uncharacterized. The transcript has 3 exons. NCBI's taxonomy places the organism in Eukaryota, Metazoa, Chordata, Mammalia, Chiroptera, Vespertilionidae. The record is from RefSeq and is a predicted model, not a curated record.
GGUUUUGAGCGAAGCCAACCCCAAAGCCCGCCUCCAUCUCUUUUUCUGUUUUAACUUAAAUUCCUCGUUGUUUAAAGUAUUGCACUGGUCUCCUCCCCCCACCCCUCUCCGGGCCAGAGGGCGAUAGUACCGCCUCCAUCUUCCGGUCCCGCCGGCUGCGCUCCGGGCGCUGCUUCGGAGGGAGACCGGCCACGCGCUCUGGGGCCGACCGGGCGGCGCCUUAGGAGCGUGGAGUCCGCGGGAACGAGCAGUCAUGGUUGAGAGGAUGCGGCUCAACGCUCGGCCCCGCUCCGGGCGGCCCUGCGGGCGCCGUCUACAGCCCGUCCCCGCCGCGCAGGGUCGCGUUCAUGGUCCCCGCAGUCCGCCCGCGACCCCCGGGGGUGGGUCGCCGCUACCCCCCCCGGGCGGAUCCCCGCUGCCCCCCGGGGUGGACCUGGUCGAACCCAGCCGCGCAGAGGACAGGACGUCCUGCAUGUUUCCUGAAACAGUGACGCCCGCGGCCGGCAGCCGGGAGGCGGCGUGGGAAGAGCCUGUGUGUCUCCAUGGCCAUCCCGCCCCUCCCAGCGCUGCUUCCCUCUCCCUGCACUGUCCCCGCUUAGCUCUGACUGCCGCCCGGUCACUGUAUGUUUCCGAUUUCAGGUGGAGGUGUACUUUAAGGUUAGUGAUAAGCUACAACAGGUGCUAUAUAAUAAUCUUAAAUUACGGAAUGAAACAUUUCCUUUUACUAAAUGUGGCUUUUGAAAAGUGCUUGAAUUAGAAUAAGCAAGAAAAAAAUGGUCACUUAGAUAACAAUUUCUAAACGCCAUGUAAUGUAUACAGGGUGGGGCAAAAGUAGUUUCCAGUUGCUUAUAUGGCAAAUAAUACAAUCAUUAAGAAUACAUGUAUACAAGAAUAAACUUUCAAGUAGGCCUUUGCCCCACCCUAUAUACAUGCUGGAAUAAUAAAAAUUUAACUACAGUAUUAUGUGAAAGUCAUAUUGCCCACUUUGCUGCCAUGCCAAAAGAAACGGCAUAGAAACAUAGGCUAAACAAAAUUUUUUAAUUUGGGAUUUUGCUUCAGGUUUUGCUCUUCUUUUUCAGGGAAAAUUGCUGAGACUUUGGAGGGGUGAAAGAAUGAGGAAACCCUUUAACUUCAGAUGCAAUUUAAGAUGGAAAAUAUGGUCUUUUCUUCCAUGAAUUCUUAGGCAGGGGGGAGAUCAGAUUCAGGGAGUUCCAUUCCUGCUGAGGCAGGAUCCCUGAGGCCGCUUCCUCUGUGUUAGGAACUCUGGGCCAUGAGGACCCGGAGGCCACUGAGCAGUGCCCGCCACUCCCUCCCUCCCAGGCCGGCCCUUCUUCUCCAGCCCCGGCUGCCAGAAGAGAAGAGUUAGCAACCAGCCAGCUUCAAGUCCCGAGUCAGACACAAGAAACCUCCCCUCCCGGGGCAAGGAUGACAUGGAGGAGAGCACAUCAGCGCUCCCUGUAGCAGGCCGUCUUCCUCUGGGCGCAGUGACCCAGUAACUUCAGUUCCCGGUGAGCGGUCGCAUUCCUGUCUAUAGAACCCGUGCUCGGACAGGUCAGUUCCCGGGUCAGCGGGGACUCGCAUCCCUUCGCGCGCUGGCCGGCUGGGAACCCAGGGAGGUGCUGAGGGCUCCGGGCUUUAGUUCCUUAUCAGCUCCAUCAACCUGUUUAACUGAGGACUCAUGACUGUCUCUGUGGCAGCAAGUGUGAUGGGCCGAACAGCAGGUGCAGGACACC